Phytophthora infestans T30-4 is the source of this 74-nucleotide transfer RNA. It matches the Rfam family "tRNA". Rfam says of the family: Transfer RNA (tRNA) molecules are approximately 80 nucleotides in length. Their secondary structure includes four short double-helical elements and three loops (D, anti-codon, and T loops). The record is from Rfam. Lineage: Eukaryota; Oomycota; Peronosporomycetes; Peronosporales; Peronosporaceae.
UCCCAAAUAGUAUAGGCGGUUAGGAUACGUGGCUUUCACCCACGCGACCCCGGGUUCGAAUCCCGGUUUGGGAA